This 433-nucleotide ribosomal RNA is filed under the name uncultured bacterium. Its description in RNAcentral is "partial 16S ribosomal RNA". It matches the Rfam family "Bacterial small subunit ribosomal RNA", at positions 29 to 507 of the family's 1533-position model. The record is from RNAcentral.
AACGAACGCUGGCGGCAGGCCUAACACAUGCAAGUCGAGCGAGGACUUCGUUCCUUUCGGCGGACGGGGGAGGAACGCGGGGGAACGUGCCCUUUGCUUCCGAAUAGCUCUGUGUAACUUGGAUUAAUACCGGUUGAGCUCUUUGGGGGUAAGAUUUAUCGGCGAAGGAUCGGCGCGGGUUGGAUUAGGUAGUUGGUGGGGUACUCGCCUGCCAAGGCGACGAUCCAUGGCUGGUUGGAUAGGAUGGUCAUCCACGCUGGGACUGAGACACGGACUAGAAUGCUACGGGAGGCAGCAGUAGGGAAUCUUAGAGAAUGGGGGAAGACGUGACAUAGCCAUGCGGGGUAAGAGAUGAAGGGCUUAGGGUUGUAAAGCUCUUUGAGAUGAGAAGAUAAUGACGGUACCAGCAGAAGAAGCACCGGCUAACUACGUG